ACAAAGCAGUGAUGCAGAGCAAAUCCCCAAAAGCAGUCUUAGUUCGGAUUGUAGGCUGCAACUCGCCUACAUGAAGUCGGAAUUGCUAGUAAUCGCGGAUCAGCAUGCCGCGGUGAAUACGUUCCCGGGCCUUGUACACACCGCCCGUCACACCAUGGGAGUCGGUAACACCCGAAGCCUGUAGUCUAACCGCAAGGAGGACGCAGUCGAAGGUGGGAUUGACGACUGGGGUGAAGUCGUAACAAGGUAAC
Molecule: ribosomal RNA, 251 nt
Filed under: uncultured bacterium
Lineage: Bacteria
Description: partial 16S ribosomal RNA
Rfam family: Bacterial small subunit ribosomal RNA
Source: RNAcentral